AACUCAUCCCCUGGAAGAGUCUCCCACUGGUUGCUGUGACAGCACUCUUCAUGUUGAGCCAGCACCAACAAUUAACAAUCAUAAUUACAUUUGCACUACACAUGGUCCAAUGCCCUAUUGAGGAUAUGCUUUUUGCAGCGCAGGAAAGAGUACAUGAACUUGAAACUGUGCAAGCCCUUUGUAGUUCUUAAUGGAAGAUGGCACAUCUGAUGUGAAACAGUAACAUGUGGUAACAACUAACAACCACCCAUUGUAUCUCGACUGCUGUAGGAUUCACUAUUUGGAAGCCACGAAUGCAGGAAGUUUGAAGCUCAAAUUCCUUUGACUGUUCAUCUGUAAUUUGGAGACUAUCAAAAUGGAGUUGCUGACUCUCGUCUAACACAGUGGGUGGAUAUUGAAGAUUGGAUGUCUGUUAAACAUGACAGUUUUUCCACAAUAACUUCUGUCAAUGGUCUUUGCUGAAUCCCAUCUAGUCUCUUGGGAAUAUGCC
This is a long non-coding RNA of Stylophora pistillata, 490 nucleotides long. Lineage: Eukaryota; Metazoa; Cnidaria; Anthozoa; Scleractinia; Pocilloporidae. The record is from RefSeq and is a predicted model, not a curated record.